GGCUCUCUGAGGUUUUUAAGAUAGGGAGUCUGGCCUGCCCGGUGGAUAUCUAAACGGCUGCAGCGAGAGCUGUGCUAAGGUAGCGCGGUAAGUUGUCUUUUAAUUGGAGAAUGGUAUGAAUGGUUUAACGUAGAAUAACUGUCUUUGAGGAAUAGAGUUAAAUUUCCAUUUAAGUGAAAAGGCUUAUAUUUUUGUAAAAGACGAGAAGACCCUAUCGAACUUAAUUAAGAUUGUUUGUGGCGACGACAAUUAGAAUUUUUGUUGGGGCAACAUAAGUCGAAAGAAACGAUUUAAUGCUAAGCAUCGAUCCUUGUUGCGAGAAAAAUGGCAAAAGUUACCGUAGGGAUAACAGCGUUAUCCUUCUUGAGAGAUCGAAUUGAGGGAAGGGUUUGCGACCUCGAUGUUGGAUUAUAGAAACUUCUUGGUGCAGCAGCUAUGAUGGUGAGACUGUUCGUCUUUUAAAUCUAU
RNAcentral lists this ribosomal RNA (468 nucleotides) under Chamelea striatula. RNAcentral's name for it is "partial 16S ribosomal RNA". It matches the Rfam family "Bacterial large subunit ribosomal RNA", at positions 1817 to 2597 of the family's 2925-position model. Lineage: Eukaryota; Metazoa; Mollusca; Bivalvia; Venerida; Veneridae. The record is from RNAcentral.